This 467-nucleotide ribosomal RNA is filed under the name uncultured bacterium. RNAcentral's name for it is "partial 16S ribosomal RNA". It matches the Rfam family "Bacterial small subunit ribosomal RNA", at positions 28 to 506 of the family's 1533-position model. The record is from RNAcentral.
GACGAACGCUGGCGGCGUGCUUAACACAUGCAAGUCGAACGGAAAGGCCCUGCUUUUGUGGGGUGCUCGAGUGGCGAACGGGUGAGUAACACGUGAGUAACCUGCCCUUGACUUUGGGAUAACUUCAGGAAACUGGGGCUAAUACCGGAUAGGAGCUCCUGCUGCAUGGUGGGGGUUGGAAAGUUUCGGCGGUUGGGGAUGGACUCGCGGCUUAUCAGCUUGUUGGUGGGGUAGUGGCUUACCAAGGCUUUGACGGGUAGCCGGCCUGAGAGGGUGACCGGCCACAUUGGACUUGGGUUCCGCCCAGACUCCUUCCGGGAGGAAGCGUUGGGAAUAUUGCCACAUUGGCGGAAGCCCUAAUCCGGAACCCCCGCUUCCGGGAUGCCGCCUUUCGGUUGUAAACCGGCUUCCGCCUGUGCGGAGGCGUGGUUACCGUUAUUGGUAAAGGAGGCCCCGCCUACUUCCUU